Molecule: ribosomal RNA, 394 nt
Filed under: Lepus europaeus (European hare)
Lineage: Eukaryota; Metazoa; Chordata; Mammalia; Lagomorpha; Leporidae
Also listed under: 1 other name
Description: partial small subunit ribosomal RNA
Rfam family: Bacterial small subunit ribosomal RNA
Source: RNAcentral
CACUAUGCUUAGCCUUAAACCUAAAUAAUUUCCUAACAAAAUUAUUCGCCAGAGAACUACAAGCCAGAGCUUAAAACUCAAAGGACUUGGCGGUGCUUUAUACCCGCCUAGAGGAGCCUGUUCUAUAAUCGAUAAACCCCGAUAAACCUUACCACUCUUUGCCAACUCAGCCUAUAUACCGCCAUCUUCAGCAAACCCUAAAAAGGAGCAAAAGUAAGCUUAAUCAUCACCAUAAAAACGUUAGGUCAAGGUGUAGCCUAUAGAGUGGAAAGUAAUGGGCUACAUUUUCUACUUUAGAACACACGAAAGCCCCUAUGAAACCCUAGGAGCCAAAGGAGGAUUUAGCAGUAAAUUAAGAAUAGAGUGCUUAAUUGAACAAGGCCAUGAAGCACGC